CUACGGGGUGCUGCAGUGAGGAAUUUUGCGCAAUGGGGGAAACCCUGACGCAGCAACGCCGCGUGAGUGAAGAAGGCCCUUGGGUCGUAAAGCUCUGUCAAUGGGGAAGAAAUUAAUUCAUAUUAAUAGUAUGUUUUAUUGACGGUACCCAUGGAGGAAGCACCGGCUAACUCCGUGCCAGCAGCCGCGGUAAUACGGGGGGUGCAAGCGUUAUUCGGAAUUAUUGGGCGUAAAGGGCACGCAGGCGGUCCUGUCAGUCAGAUGUGAAAGCCCGGGGCUCAACCCCGGACGUGCAUUUGAAACAGCAGGACUCGAGUACGGGAGAGGAAAGGGGAAUUCCUGGUGUAGAGGUGAAAUUCGUAGAUAUCAGGAGGAACACCGGUGGCGAAGGCGCCUUUCUGGACCGAUACUGACGCUGAGGUGCGAAGGCGUGGGUAGCGAACGGGAUUAGAUACCCGCGUAGUC
RNAcentral lists this ribosomal RNA (465 nucleotides) under uncultured bacterium. Its description in RNAcentral is "partial 16S ribosomal RNA". It matches the Rfam family "Bacterial small subunit ribosomal RNA", at positions 339 to 795 of the family's 1533-position model. The record is from RNAcentral.